AGCCUUUGGUUGCUUCGAAAUGUGGCGUAUAGGUGUAGCUUUCCAGCAGUGUCGUAUGUCCGAAGUCCUUACGAUUGAGGCCAUAAACCAGAGAGGGUGCGAGCCCCGUUCUGGAUAGCGAUGCUGUUGGUUUGGUUGCUCCUUGGAGUCGGGUUGCUUGAAAGUGCAGCCUAAAGUGGGUGAUAAACUUCAUCUAAGGCUAAAUAUCGACUCGAUUGCGAUAGCGAACAAGUACCGUGAGGGAAAGUUGCAAAGGACUUUGAAGAGAGAGUUCAAGAGAACGUGAAAUCGCUGGAGUGGAACCGGAGACAGUUGAUGUUGCUUGGAGACAAGCUUGGUGGCUGGUCGCUUAACUGUGAUCGUCGCCGGGUGUCGUUUCCUAUGCUACGCCGACGGCGUUGAUUGCUCGUUCUAGCCCGACAGUGUUGCCCAUCUCGCAAGAGACGGUGUCUUGUUGUCGGUAGUGAGUUCGUGGUGAUUAGCGUUUAGUUACGCAAGUGUGUGUGACGUCGGUGUGAAAGUCAACGACGUUUCCGACCCGUCUUGAAACACGGAUUGCGGAGUGCUUGUCUACUGCGAGUCAAAGGGUGUUAAAACCUUGCGGCGUAAUGAAAGUGAAGGCUUGUCUCGAAUGAGCCGACGUGGGAUCCGUGCUUUUCGGAGUGCGGCGCACCACGGCCCUAUGCGUGUCACUUGUGACUGUGUAGAGGUUGAGCAGUUGGCAAACGACCCGAAAGAUGGUGAACUAUGCUUGAGCAGGAUGAAGCCAGAGGAAACUCUGGUGGAAGUCCGUAUCGGUUCUGACGUGCAAAUCGAUCGAUAGACUUGAGUAUAGGGGCGAAAGACUAAUCGAACCAUCUAGUAGCUGGUUCCUUCCGAAGUUUCCCUCAGGAUAGCUGGAUCUCCAGCAGUUAUAUUCGGUAAAGCUAAUGAUUAGAGGCCUUGGGGGCGUAAUGCCCUCAACCUAUUCUCAAACUUUCAAUGGAUAUGAAGUUGCAGUUUCUUUAGUGAACUGUCAACGUGAAUGCGAGGUCCAAGUGGGCCAUUUUUGGUAAGCAGAACUGGCGCUGUGGGAUGAACCAAACGUGGAGUUAAGGUGCCUAACUUCUCGCUCAUGAGACCCCAUAAAAGGUGUUGGUUGAUAUUGACAGCAGGACGGUGGCCAUGGAAGUCGGUACCCGCUAAGGAGUGUGUAACAACUCACCUGCCGAAUCAACUAGCCCUGAAAAUGGAUGGCGCUUAAGCGAGAGACCUAUACUCCGCCGUUGCGGCAUGUGCGUUGUCUAGCGCCAGGUCGUAACGAGUAGGAAGGUCGUGGCGGUUGCGUUGAAGGCUAUGAGCGUAGGCUCGGCUGGAGCUUCCGUCAGUGCAGAUCGUAAUGGUAGUAGCAAAUAUUCAAGUUCGAUCCUUGAAGACUGAAGUGGAGAAGGGUUCCACGUGAACAGUAGUUGGAUGUGGGUCAGUCGAUCCUAAGGUACUGGCGAACGCCUUGUAUCAUCGGUGGCGAAAAGCUUGCUUUUAGUCCCCGUUUGUCGAAAGGGAAUAGGGUUAAUAUUCCCUAACUGAGAUGCAAAGAUUGUGUUCUUCGGAGCACAAGCGCGGUAACGCAUUCGAACUUGGUUAGUCGCUCAAAGACCGAGCUAGAGUUUUCUUCUCUAGUUAAGGAACGGACUCCCUGGAAUUGGUUCAGCCAGAGAUGGGGACGUUGUUUCCGAAAAGCACCGCGGUUUCUGUGGUGUCUCGUGCUCUUUGAACGGCCCUUUAAACACCAAGGGAGGCUAUUAAUUUGCACUCAAUCGUACCGAUAUCCGCAUUAGGUCUCCAAGGUGAACAGCCUCUAGUCGAUAGAAUAAUGUAGGUAAGGGAAGUCGGCAAACUAGAUCCGUAACUUCGGGAAAAGGAUUGGCUCCAGUGGUUGGAACGAUUGGCCAGUUGGUUGAUGCUUGUCCGGCGCUAUUCUGUCUGUUUGAUGCUUUCGGGCUGAUGGCGGACUAGUGAUAGUGCUUGCUUGUGGACGCUUUCUGGUGUGUGCUUUGACUUCGGUCUUAGUAUCCUGAUCGCUCAUCUAAACAACCAUACUGGAACCGGUACGGACUCAGGGAAUCCGACUGUCUAAUUAAAACAGAGGUGACAGAUGGUCCUUGCGGACGCUGACUGUCACUGAUUUCUGCCCAGUGCUCUGAAUGUUAAAUCGUAGUAAUUCGAGUAAGCGCGGGUAAACGGCGGGAGUAACUAUGACUCUCUUAAGGUAGCCAAAUGCCUCGUCAUUUAAUUGUUGACGCGCAUGAGGGGGAGCGAGGGGGGAUUCGUCUCCUAUCUAGCGCCUUCACGUGGUCUCCUCUGUUAAAAGGUUUCGUGCCUUAACUAAAGCUAGAUAAGGGAGCGCCAGAAGAUGGUGCCUUGCUCAUACCGAUUCUGAGCAUGCUUGUAGCUCCCUCCUUAUCGAGGUCUGUUGGCAAAUGGACUUGCAUCAUAGAAGUAAGGACUAUUGAUGUAAAAGUCCAUCCUGUUGACACCUCAAGGUCGCUUUUGGCUUGCUGAAUGUCGACAGAUCGCGUAUGUGAUCAAGAUCGGAAACUGACGUGCAACCCUCUCAAAAGAGAGAAAAUAGAGGGGUGGUCUCGUUAUAACUGUGACUGGCUUUGCCUACUCACGAUCUGAUGAGACUAUCCCUGGAGUGGCUUUUUUUUUUGUGUAGGGGGGGUCCCGGGACCCCUCAAACACGGCGGCUCACCGUGUUUUGACUUUUUGAAACGGAGACUGACGUACUACCGUAUCUCAUAAACAGAAAGGACUCCCGGAACCUCUCUGUCGAGAUUUUGAAUUUAGGAUUUCCUUUUCUUUCCUUUGGUUUUACUAACACGGAUUUACCGCUUGCUUGUAUGCGUUUGAUUAUCGUCUGCACUUGCACUUGCACCAUUAAUAGCAUGUUUCUUACAGAGCGCAUACCAAGCAAGCAUAAUGGGAAAGCAUCGGAAAAGGACUUCGAAGACUGGAACACCUAAGGUCAAGGCA
The sequence is a ribosomal RNA, 3015 nucleotides long. The stretch from base 1 to 2344 matches the Rfam family "Eukaryotic large subunit ribosomal RNA".